AUUGAACGCUGGCGGCAGGCCUAACACAUGCAAGUCGAGCGGAUGAAGGGAGAUUGCUCCUGGAUUCCUCGGCGGACGCGUGCGUAAUGCCAAGGACUCUGCCUGGUAGUGGGGGAUAACGUUAGGUAACGGGCACUAAUACCGCAUACGUAUAGCGGGAGAAAGCGGGGGAUCUUCGGACUCCACGCUAUCGGCUGCGCCUAGGUCGGAUUAGCUGGUGGGUGGGGUAAGGCUUACCAAGGCGACGAUCCGUAACUGGUCUGAGAGGAUGAUCAGUCACACUGGAACUGAGACACGGUCCAGACUCCUACGGGAGGCAGCAGUGGGGAAUAUUGGACAAUGGGCGAAAGCCUGAUCCAGCCAUGCCGCGUGUAUGAAGAAGGUCUUCGGAUUGUAAAGCACUUUAAGUUGGGAGGAAGGGCAGUAAGUUAAUACCUUGCUGUAUUGACGUUACCAGCAGAAGAAGCACCGGCUAACUCCGUG
This 483-nucleotide ribosomal RNA is filed under the name uncultured bacterium. RNAcentral's name for it is "partial 16S ribosomal RNA". It matches the Rfam family "Bacterial small subunit ribosomal RNA", at positions 30 to 507 of the family's 1533-position model. The record is from RNAcentral.